Molecule: non-coding RNA, 340 nt
Organism: Pelobates cultripes (western spadefoot toad)
Lineage: Eukaryota; Metazoa; Chordata; Amphibia; Anura; Pelobatidae
Source: the annotation of a GenBank genome assembly
GGAUUACUGUGCUUGAUUGGCCAGCAAACUCGCCUGACCUGAACCCCAUAGAGAAUCUAUGGGGCAUUGCCAAGGGAAAGAUGAGAGACAUGAGACCGAACAAUACAGAAGAGCUGAAGGCCGCUAUUGAAGCAUCCUGGUCUUCCAUAACACCUCAGCAGUACCACAGGCUGAUAGCUUCCAUGCCACGCCACACUGAGGCAGUAAUUGCUGCAAAAGGGGCCCAAAGCAAGUACUGAGUCCAUAUGCAUGCUUAUACUUUUCAGAGGUCCGAUAUUGUUCUAUGUACACUCCUUGUUUUAUUGAUUGCAUGUAAUAUUCUAAUUUACUGAGAUUGUGG